This is a long non-coding RNA of Oryza brachyantha (malo sina), 441 nucleotides long. RefSeq lists it as uncharacterized. The record is from RefSeq and is a predicted model, not a curated record. The transcript is spliced from 2 exons. Lineage: Eukaryota; Viridiplantae; Streptophyta; Magnoliopsida; Poales; Poaceae.
GCACAGCCCCAGCCACAGAUGAGAAGGGCAGCUGCAUUCGUAGUUGCUAGCUAGGCUCUCAGCUGAUGAUGCACUGAAGCACGAAUAAGGUAUUGUUGAUCGAUGUGUCCGGCGGCGACGGGGACGACGCUGUUCGCGGUGGGGGUGAUGCUGUGCCCGUUCCCGGCGCUGGUGCCGUCGUGCCGGAACCUCACCGCCGUGCUGCCGGAGCUCUGGGGCCUCCUCGCCGCCGUCUACCUCCACAUCCGCGGCGAGCUCUCGCAGCUGCUAGCGCCUGAUGCUGCCGCUGCUCGCCGCCGUUCGCCGCGGUACGGCGCAGCUAGCUGAUUUAAUGAUAUCUCGAUCCAUGUGUUGUUCGUUUGUUACUAUUCGAUGUGUGCAGCAUGAUGCUUCUUGUGAAGAAAUAGUUAAAUGUUGAGAUUAAUUAUUGCUAAUAUUCAA